This 72-nucleotide transfer RNA is filed under the name Camelus bactrianus (Bactrian camel). It matches the Rfam family "tRNA". From Rfam's summary of the family: Transfer RNA (tRNA) molecules are approximately 80 nucleotides in length. Their secondary structure includes four short double-helical elements and three loops (D, anti-codon, and T loops). The record is from Rfam by way of RNAcentral. Lineage: Eukaryota; Metazoa; Chordata; Mammalia; Artiodactyla; Camelidae. RNAcentral also lists the same sequence under 2 other names.
GAGGAAAUAGCUCAGUGGUAGAGUGCAUGCUUAGCAUGCACGAGGUCCUGGGUUCAAUCCCCAGUACCUCCA